GGCGGUUCUCGGGUGAUGCACCCCAGAAUCGGGCUCCCUCCUCUCUGGUUCUGGGUGCGUGACCCAAGAAUCGAA
Molecule: non-coding RNA, 75 nt
Organism: Myotis brandtii (Brandt's bat)
Lineage: Eukaryota; Metazoa; Chordata; Mammalia; Chiroptera; Vespertilionidae
Source: Rfam